GGAUCUUGGAAGAACACAAAGAUAGCUUCUCAACUUGAGUGGGCCAGAGACAACUCCAGGGAUCUCAAUGCAAUCCUGCUUCUGGAUGGGACAAAGAAGGCAUCAGCCGCACAGGAGAAAAUCACAGCUGUCCUUUCAUUCUGUUCAAGCACACAUGAAGCUCCUUCUAGGUUCAUCCACUGUGUGCCAAACACCUGGGACAGUCAGAGAAGAAUAAUGAUGCCAGCCUUCUAAGAGCUGGCAGACCAGUGAGAGAGCAGGCUCAAGACAUGGCAGAGUCAAACACAGACAGAAAGCUAUGGUAUCUCAGAGGAAGAUGAUGAGAUUUGGAAAGCUCCCAGAGAAGAUGGGACUGGAGCUGGGCUGCUUAGCACUGAAACAGUGGAUUUGGGGAGAAUAUUUGCAUGCAAGUAAAAUAUGCAAAAGAUGUUCAAAGAACAACCAAAAGUGGUAGAAAUGUGGAGUGAGAAAUACUGAAAUGUCCACAGCUCAGGAAAACAUGUUUUCCAACCAGCAUCCCUGACCAUUCCCCCUUCCCCAGGUCUAGGGCAUCUAGAGCACCAAAAUUACCAGCAACUCUCAUCUUUCCUGACCCCUCCUUACUUCACUUUUGAUCUAAAAGUACAUUCCGGCCUCAUCUAACCAUUUAAAAAGCC
This 656-nucleotide long non-coding RNA is filed under the name Homo sapiens (human). Its description in RNAcentral is "LNC_000525". The record is from RNAcentral. Lineage: Eukaryota; Metazoa; Chordata; Mammalia; Primates; Hominidae.